CUGACCCCAAUUUAUUUUGCCCUUUUGUUACACUCACCUAUGCCCUAAACCCUUUCACUGUCAUUUUCACGACAUUGAUAAACAGAGAGGUCUCUCGCACUCUCUGUCUCUCUCGCUCUCUUUGCUCGCCAUGGUCGUAACUCUAGUGGUAGAGUUCUUCAUAUGCUUGGUAUUGACGAUCUUAGGUUACAUUCCUGGAAUAGUUUACGCUCUCUAUGCGAUGCUCUGUGUCGAUCGUGAUAUGACUCGCGCCGAUUACCGUCCACUCGCCUAGUCUCUUUGUGUGUGUGUGUGUGUGGAAAUCUGUGUGUGUUUAGCUGUAAUCUCAUGAUUUUGGAGUGAUUUGAACUCAUGAUUGAUCUAACUCUCUCUCAGCUACGAAGCUUUGUGAUUGCUCAUGGAAUCAAUGCCGCAGAUGUGAAGAAACUUCAAGAUGUUGGGAUCUACACUUGCAAUGGCUUGAUGAUGCACAUGAAGAAGGAGGUGAAGUUAAUUUUUAAGAUUUGUGAUAUAAUAAUAAUUUCGAGAUGGCGCUUUUGGAUCUCUUCAUUGCCUCAUCAAUUCCAGUCCUAAAAGUGCUCUGGGU
Camellia sinensis is the source of this 586-nucleotide non-coding RNA. NCBI's taxonomy places the organism in Eukaryota, Viridiplantae, Streptophyta, Magnoliopsida, Ericales, Theaceae. The record is from RefSeq and is a predicted model, not a curated record.